This is a long non-coding RNA of Magnolia sinica, 532 nucleotides long. RefSeq lists it as uncharacterized. The record is from RefSeq and is a predicted model, not a curated record. Lineage: Eukaryota; Viridiplantae; Streptophyta; Magnoliopsida; Magnoliales; Magnoliaceae. The transcript is spliced from 3 exons.
AAUAUUUCUAUAACUUUACUAGUUCUCAUUUUGUUAUAUAUGACCCAACCAAAUCUAAUUGAAAGUUCCUUGCCAUCCAAUCUUUGGCCAUCUUUUUCCUAGACAAUUGAUAUUUAUAUUCUUUUCUUAUCCGUCUUUUGUAGGACAUUGACAGGCAGGUUAAAAGCUUCGUUCUGUAAGGCUUUUCACACAUCUUCCAUCUAUGGCAGAGCUUAUGAAAGUAAAGUUUGUAUCUCACAACUGUUGGCCCCACUUGUUAACAAACCAAAUCUUCCACUUGCAUCGCGAUUUUUAGGCUUUUUGGAAACAACAGCUUGUCUGAUACAUGACUGCCAUCCCAAAAAAGCUAUAAACUUCUUAAUGUGCAUUAGGAAGGGAUGAAUGGGAGUUAGAUGGUUGGAUUAUUUUUAUUUAUUUAUUUAUUUGUCUUGUUUUGUAGGCUUUAGGAAGGGAUGAAUGAGAGUUUUGAUGGCCCACUCUGCAAGGUACUCUACAUGUAUGCUUGUAGCAUAUGUGCAACGUAGCAAAGACA